AAAACGCGUUCAAAGUGUUUGCGAGUUUUGCAGCGCAUUUAUUCUCCGUUUUUUUGCUUCUUUAAUGUUCUUUCCGGGCAAGCUUUAUAUUCGCGGAACUGGAGAAGAUCCAAGAAGCAGCUUCAGCGGAACAAAUGAAUCUCGACGAAGCUCACCGAAAUGCGACUGGAACUUGGAGAUGUUUGAUUACCAGCCCAGAAGAAAGGUGUGAAAAUGGAGGUGAUGAAGAUGGACGGGAGUUGGUCCUACCGUCGGCAGUGGAGAGGGUGACAAAAAUAAAAAACUUGGAGGCUCGACCAGCAUUCCAUUGCGAUUGUAUUUUUGGGAUGGGUUCCCAUGAAAAUUUUCUGGAUAAAAAAGGAAGCAAUGGGUGUCAAUGGAAACGGAAAUCCAUAUUAACAAAGCUUAAAUUAAAAUAUGGUUUGAUUGAUCCUGGAUCUUCCUGACACGAUUGACGCAAAAGAGAUGUUCCGAUUUUUUUUCGAGAGAGUGGAUUAUGACACCCGGUUUGGGCUCGAUGCUGUUCAGAAUAAUAUGGCGAACAAUGAGAAUUUGAUCUUCGCCCCUGAUCCUAAUGAUUGAACUGGAACUGAAAGGAAACCGUAUCGACUAAGCUUUAUCUUCUACUGUGAUGAAU
Long non-coding RNA from Uranotaenia lowii, 637 nucleotides. RefSeq lists it as uncharacterized. The record is from RefSeq and is a predicted model, not a curated record. The transcript has 3 exons. Lineage: Eukaryota; Metazoa; Arthropoda; Insecta; Diptera; Culicidae.